UGGGGAAUCUUAGACAAUGGGGGAAACCCUGAUCUAGCCAUGCCGCGUGAUCGAUGAAGGCCUUAGGGUUGUAAAGAUCUUUCAGUGGGGAAGAUAAUGACUGUACCCACAGAAGAAGCCCCGGCUAACUCCGUGCCAGCAGCCGCGGUAAUACGGAGGGGGCUAGCGUUGUUCGGAAUUACUGGGCGUAAAGCGCACGUAGGCGGACCGGAAAGUCAGAGGUGAAAUCCCAGGGCUCAACCUUGGAACUGCCUUUGAAACUCCUGGUCUUGAGGUCGAGAGAGGUGAGUGGAAUUCCGAGUGUAGAGGUGAAAUUCGUAGAUAUUCGGAGGAACACCAGUGGCGAAGGCGGCUCACUGGCUCGAUACUGACGCUGAGGUGCGAAAGCGUGGGGAGCAAACA
This 402-nucleotide ribosomal RNA is filed under the name Rhodobacter sp. EMB 174. RNAcentral describes it as "bacterial SSU rRNA". It matches the Rfam family "Bacterial small subunit ribosomal RNA", at positions 355 to 774 of the family's 1533-position model. The record is from RNAcentral. Lineage: Bacteria; Pseudomonadati; Pseudomonadota; Alphaproteobacteria; Rhodobacterales.